GAUGAAGAACGUAGCGAAAUGCGAUAAGUAAUGUGAAUUGCAGAAUUCAGUGAAUCAUCGAAUCUUUGAACGCAUCUUGCGCUCCUUGGUAUUCCGAGGAGCAUGCCUGUUUGAGUGUCAUUUAACUUCUCAACCACAUUGGAUAUUUUUUUUCCGAUGCCGGCUUGGAUGUGGGGGUUGUUUGCAGGCUUUUUGUAACAAAAAAGGUCGGCUCCCCUGAAAUGUAUUAGUGGUAUCUGAGGCUAUUACUAUUAGGUGUGAUAAUUAUCUAUGCCUUUUGGGUAUGCCGCAUGAACAGAUUAUGCUGCUUCUAACGAAAACUAUUUUGAUGAAUUUGACCUCAAAUCAGGUAGGACUACCCGCUGCACUUAAGCAUAUCAAUAAGCGGAGGA
This 392-nucleotide unclassified non-coding RNA is filed under the name soil metagenome. RNAcentral describes it as "partial contains 5.8S ribosomal RNA, internal transcribed spacer 2, and large subunit ribosomal RNA". The stretch from base 1 to 120 matches the Rfam family "5.8S ribosomal RNA", at positions 35 to 154 of the family's 154-position model. The record is from RNAcentral.